RNAcentral lists this ribosomal RNA (139 nucleotides) under Steccherinum sp. 2 OM-2011. RNAcentral describes it as "partial small subunit ribosomal RNA". It matches the Rfam family "Bacterial small subunit ribosomal RNA", at positions 820 to 959 of the family's 1533-position model. The record is from RNAcentral. Lineage: Eukaryota; Fungi; Basidiomycota; Agaricomycetes; Polyporales; Steccherinaceae.
UUUGUUAGUUUUUUAUAACUAGUGACGAAGUUAACACGAUAACCAUUCCGCCUUGUGAGUACGACUGCAAAGUUGAAAACAAAAAAAUUAGUCGGUCUCGGAGCAAACGAAGUGAAGGAUGUUAUUUAAUUCGAUAAUC